This 519-nucleotide ribosomal RNA is filed under the name uncultured bacterium. Its description in RNAcentral is "bacterial SSU rRNA". It matches the Rfam family "Bacterial small subunit ribosomal RNA", at positions 374 to 883 of the family's 1533-position model. The record is from RNAcentral.
GACGAAAGUCUGACGGAGCAACGCCGCGUGAGCGAAGAAGGCCUUCGGGUCGUAAAGCUCUGUUGUUAGGGAAGAACAAGUACCGGAGUAACUGCCGGUACCUUGACGGUACCUAACCAGAAAGCCACGGCUAACUACGUGCCAGCAGCCGCGGUAAUACGUAGGUGGCAAGCGUUGUCCGGAAUUAUUGGGCGUAAAGCGCGCGCAGGCGGUCUCUUAAGUCUGAUGUGAAAGCCCCCGGCUCAACCGGGGAGGGUCAUUGGAAACUGGGAGACUUGAGUGCAGAAGAGAAGAGCGGAAUUCCACGUGUAGCGGUGAAAUGCGUAGAGAUGUGGAGGAACACCAGUGGCGAAGGCGGCUCUUUGGUCUGUAACUGACGCUGAGGCGCGAAAGCGUGGGGAGCGAACAGGAUUAGAUACCCUGGUAGUCCACGCCGUAAACGAUGAGUGCUAAGUGUUAGAGGGGUUUCCGCCCUUUAGUGCUGCAGCAAACGCAUUAAGCACUCCGCCUGGGGAGUAC